RNAcentral lists this unclassified non-coding RNA (375 nucleotides) under uncultured Actinomycetes bacterium. RNAcentral's name for it is "uncultured actinobacterium contains 16S-23S intergenic spacer region". Lineage: Bacteria; Bacillati; Actinomycetota; Actinomycetes. The record is from RNAcentral.
UCCGGCUUAUCACCGGCGGUUCCCCUAGAGUGCCCGGCCGGACCGCUGGCAACUAGGGACGAGGGUUGCGCUCGUUGCGGGACUUAACCCAACAUCUCACGACACGAGCUGACGACAACCAUGCACCACCUGUAUACCGACCUUGCGGGGAGUACAUUUCUGCACUUUUCCGGUAUAUGUCAAGCCUUGGUAAGGUUCUUCGCGUUGCAUCGAAUUAAUCCGCAUGCUCCGCCGCUUGUGCGGGCCCCCGUCAAUUCCUUUGAGUUUUAGCCUUGCGGCCGUACUCCCCAGGCGGGGCACUUAAUGCGUUAGCUACGGCGCCGGGGGAGUCGACACCCCCAACACCUAGUGCCCAUCGUUUACGGCGUGGACUAC